GACGAACGCUGGCGGCGUGCCUAAUACAUGCAAGUUGAGCGCUGAAGGUUGGUACUUGUACCGACUGGAUGAGCAGCGAACGGGUGAGUAACGCGUGGGGAAUCUGCCUUUGAGCGGGGGACAACAUUUGGAAACGAAUGCUAAUACCGCAUAAAAACUUUAAACACAAGUUUUAAGUUUGAAAGAUGCAAUAGCAUCACUCAAAGAUGAUCCCGCGUUGUAUUAGCUAGUUGGUGAGGUAAAGGCUCACCAAGGCGAUGAUACAUAGCCGACCUGGGAGGGUGAUCGGCCACAUUGGGACUGAGACACGGCCCAAACUCCUACGGGAGGCAGCAGUAGGGAAUCUUCGGCAAUGGACGAAAGUCUGACCGAGCAACGCCGCGUGAGUGAAGAAGGUUUUCGGAUCGUAAAACUCUGUUGGUAGAGAAGAACGUUGGUGAGAGUGGAAAGCUCAUCAAGUGACGGUAACUCCCCAGAAAGGGACGGCUAACUACGUG
Molecule: ribosomal RNA, 497 nt
Filed under: uncultured bacterium
Lineage: Bacteria
Description: partial 16S ribosomal RNA
Rfam family: Bacterial small subunit ribosomal RNA
Source: RNAcentral